RNAcentral lists this long non-coding RNA (3783 nucleotides) under Triticum aestivum (bread wheat). RNAcentral's name for it is "long non-coding RNA (TAES_LNC021602)". The record is from RNAcentral. Lineage: Eukaryota; Viridiplantae; Streptophyta; Magnoliopsida; Poales; Poaceae.
CUUCAGCGAGCAGCGGCAACAUGGCUUAUAUAUCCAGCAAGCAACAUGUCCAGCAAAUAUAGAUCCAGGAAGUAAUAUAUAGCCAAGGAAGGUUCACAACAACAAUAUAUUACAACUUGACAACCAUAACAAAUUGACCAUGAGUCCAAAGUCCACACAGGUACAUAUCCAACAAGGUUCACAAACAAAAGCAUGAGUUCCAAGUUCACACCAAGCAUGAACCUCAAACAUGCAAUGAGCUCCACCGUAGCAUGUAUGCCCACCGUCAACGGCAUCCACAAUGCAAACCUACAAGUCCAUUACCAAACGCAUGAGUUUUCAAAGUUAAGUUUCAAAUGAUCGAUAAGGCACAAGAGUCAACAAGCAUCAACAUAUAAGGUUCAAAUUGAAGCUAAGAAGUAUGAACAAUAUAAGCAUCAACACUUGUGGGCUCUACUAUCAACAAUGCACAAGUUGUAAGUUGAGAAGCACAAAGACAAGACGCAAGCAUCAACAAUGCACAAACAUAGACAACUACCUCGAGUGAUCAUUGUUGCAAGGAGGUCGAAGCGCCAUGAGCCGUAGUGGGAGUCACUGGGCUUGCUUGUCCUGACUGAGAACACUUCAAGCACGAGAAGGUAAGAUGGUAAGAUUCAUGAUCUUUAAGCAUGACUAGUCAACAAUCCGUGCGACUGCACGGGCUAGUAAUUUUUCCUAAAAGAGUAUAAAUCAUUGGCGGCUCUUUGUAUUGUUUCAUUUUUUAUGUGAGAAAUAGAGAAUUGUGUUAUGAAACUUGAUUGUAGUGCACUUAAUAUUGUUUCAAUUAGUUGGACAUUAGAUAGUGGAUUAAUAUUUCCAUGGUCUGAGAUUCAUAGUUAUCUUGUGCCUGUCUUGUGAUUGUAUUACAAAUGCUUAUGUUUAACCAAAUAGCUCAAAAUGGGUUCAAAUGAUAGACACAUAUGCAAAUAAUGCAUAUCUCUGCUUAUCCUUCUAUGAGGAAGUCCUACCACCAGAUGUGAGCCAAACAUUAUUAUAUUUAUAGCUUAGCUUAAAUCCAUAAUUAUUUAGGUGAGAUCCUCUGCAUCAUAUAUUUCCUAACAGGAAUAUAAGGGUUAAAAAUGCCGGCCAUUUAUAUAAAUGUAAAAUGUACAACAUAGUUAAUAUACUGAGAGACUUAUAUGUAUCAAAUACUAACUUUCUUUUUGUAAUAGCACUUGGUUGCACAUUAUCCCGGGAAAAGACCCUUGGAAUGGGCAUUAAAUUCAUUUUCCUAAAUGGGCAUUGGCAGUUCAAUUCUAAAGUAUUACAUGUAAGCAUCAGUAAUCCUCUCUUAGCUUAGUCCGCUUCAAGAAAUCAUAUGAUCCCAUGUCUCCCAAAUAAUGUUGAUCACCACAUACAUCCUAGAUUUAAAGAGAGUAAAUUAUGUCGAGCACAUGCACAUGCAUGUAUAAAUAAAAUAGACUGUGCGCAUGAAGUGCAUACCUGCACCCUGGACAUGGGAUACAGCGGGGGAGUGGAUGAGAAGCACACGCAGCCACUGUAUGUCCUCGUUGUCGGUAUUCUGCUUGAUUAUCCUCUUCAUCGCUUGUUAAUGUAAAGAAAAACAGUUGGUCAAUAAAGAAUCAUACAUUAUUCAAGAAACCAAGCGAUGGUAUAACAAAUAAAUUGGAAGUGAACAAACGGCAAGAUUUAAUUUAUUUUGCAAUUUGUAGGAUUCCCCAACUCGAAGAGAACUGUUGUUGAAUAUCAUAUGAAAGAAUAAUGGAUUUGCAUUAUAUGGAUUUGCAUUAUAUGGAUUUGAGCCACAUAUUACACUAUUUAUAGAAUUGAAUUCAGGUAGCUAGUAAAAUGAUUGUCUUGAUGAUCGUUAACUUAGACCCAUAAAAAUUAAUAUUUUAUUUUCACCCAAUGACCAUAGUUUCUAACGGGAAUAUUGGGGGCACAAAGUGCAAGACAUCAUAUAGAAGUGCAUCCAUAUGAUGAUCAAAUACUGAAAUCAUUUUCUCGCAAUAGAAGCACAUGGUUACACACAUCCCUCAGAAUCUCACUUAACUGAAAUGGGAGUUUAUUUCUUGUAAUAGUAACAUUUUGUUACACAUGUCCCCUCAAAUAUCCCUCAAGUGGAAUGGACGUUAGUUGACAAUAGUAUAUAGGAAGGCUCCCGAACACAAAAAAUAGAUAUAUGUUGUUCAAGUGCUGCAUACAAAAUGAUGGUGGCAAUAAAUUUGAGCACAUAAAUAUAUAUGAAUAGAAGCAUUGUAGUAAAUGUUCUGUUGGAAAUAUACCAUUGAUGCAACAAAUAAGAAAAACUGAAAUUCAGCAAGGUGCUUGCGUGGGACAUCACACAUUAGUAAUCCUUUCUUACCUUAGCCCCCUGAAACUAAUCAUAUGAUCCAUGCUGUCCAAAAUUAUAUGAGCUCAUCAUCCAUGAAUGAAGAGAAAAGGAGUAAAGUAGUGAGAAGAAAUCAUCCUAAUAAUCAAACCUCUAGUCCAGUAUGCACCCUGUAUAAAAUAGAAAUCUAUGAAGUCAUUACCUGCACCUGCAGACACGGUUUGCAGCCAAGGUGUGGAUGAGAAGCUCAUCCAGCAACUACACAUCAUCGCCGGUGGCUCUCGACUUGAUUAUCCUCUUCAUUUUCUAUGCUUCAUUACGUAAUCCAUAACGACAUGCUCAGUGAGCGUGUUUUUUGCUGCAGAACGCUUCCUCAUAUGUAAAAAAAGAAGAAUUGCAUCAAAAUAGGGACACACCUUCAGUAUAAAUCUGAAGAAUACAACAUGAUUCUUUCUGUUAAUAUAUACUCCCACUGUUCCAAAAUAGAUACAACAGCAUACCGGAGGGAGUAUUACAGUAUAUGAGAACUGAGAUACAACAGCAUACCGCACAUCUUCUUAAAGAAACAAAUGGAGACUGAACUUAUCUACUCAUUAUAUGUGUCUAGUAAAGUCUGCACGUGUAUGUAUAACAUAUAUAUGAAAUACAACAUCAUACAAUUUAGUAUCAUAGAUUCAGUGAAAAGACGCAAAUUUCUAGGAAGUUUAUUGGUGUUACAGAAUCAGAUCUUAUAAUUACAUAACAACUCUUACUAAGCAAGUCCCAGCUCCAUACAACAGAUGCAAAAACUGUACAACAAUCAACUCACAUAUGUUUUAAUUAUUUAGUACAUCAACCUAACAAAAGAACGAAAAUAAAGUUUAACAAGAAGAAACAAUAUUAUUAAAUCCUAGCGAGAGGUUAACUUGAGCAUCAUUUUUUUAUUUUGCGUCUUGCUUUGAAUAAAUAUUGUUCAGGUGCCUCCUUGUUGAUGCAUAUACACUGCACAUCUGCAACAACACCAUCAAAGAAAUUCCAUCAGAACAAAGUACAGUUUGUGCUUGUAAGAUGCACAGUCAAAUUGGAUUACUGGAUGAGAAUAAAUUGAAAGAAUAGAUCAAAGUAAAAAAAGGCAUAUAUUUUUUUUGCUUGUAUGGAACAGAAAGAAGUAAACUGAAUAAAUCGUGUGAUACUCCUAAACGACUAAUCCACUUCCCAAAAACUUUAGAAGAGAUUCUUGAGUUCCCUGUGCAGAAGUACGCCCACAUAAUUAGAUUGUAUAUAGCAUCUAGAAAUCCUAGCUAUCCAAGUAAUAUGUAGGUAUGAAACUGAACAAGUGUGUAACAGAACAUGCAUGUGUUCCUGAAGAUGCAAUUGGGGGAGGGACGGGAACCAAGACCUGGUUACUUCUUGUUGUUGCAUGAGGAGGAGAUCAGCAGCGGCACCUCUGAGCACCUUCACGCCGGAGCACCUUGCCGCCGGAGGAGUCGGCC